RNAcentral lists this transfer RNA (71 nucleotides) under uncultured Ruminococcus sp. It matches the Rfam family "tRNA". From Rfam's summary of the family: Transfer RNA (tRNA) molecules are approximately 80 nucleotides in length. Their secondary structure includes four short double-helical elements and three loops (D, anti-codon, and T loops). Further hydrogen bonds mediate the characteristic L-shaped molecular structure. tRNAs have two regions of fundamental functional importance: the anti-codon, which is responsible for specific mRNA codon recognition, and the 3' end, to which the tRNAs corresponding amino acid is attached (by aminoacyl-tRNA synthetases). tRNAs cope with the degeneracy of the genetic code in two manners: having more than one tRNA (with a specific anti-codon) for a particular amino acid; and 'wobble' base-pairing, i.e. permitting non-standard base-pairing at the 3rd anti-codon position. Lineage: Bacteria; Bacillati; Bacillota; Clostridia; Eubacteriales; Oscillospiraceae. The record is from RNAcentral.
GGGGUAUAGCUCAGAUGGUAGAGCGCGUGGUUCGCAUUCACGAGGUCAGGGGUUCGAUUCCCCUUAUCUCC